ACAGGCUGGAGACACCCUAGGGUGUCUCAGCGAGGCCGAGACACCCUUGGGUGUCUCGGCCUUGGCCGAGACACUCUGGGGUGUCUCGCUUG
RNAcentral lists this microRNA precursor (92 nucleotides) under Asparagus officinalis (garden asparagus). RNAcentral's name for it is "miR12152 stem-loop (aof-MIR12152)". The record is from miRBase by way of RNAcentral. Lineage: Eukaryota; Viridiplantae; Streptophyta; Magnoliopsida; Asparagales; Asparagaceae.